UACGGAGGGGGCUAGCGUUGUUCGGAAUGACUGGGCGUAAAGGGCGCGUAGGCGGCGAUUCAAGUCAGAUGUGAAAGGCCUGGGCUCAACCCGGGAACUGCAUUUGAUACUGGAUUGCUUGAGUCCGGGAGAGGAUGGCGGAAUUCCCAGUGUAGAGGUGAAAUUCGUAGAUAUUGGGAAGAACACCGGUGGCGAAGGCGGCCAUCUGGACCGGUACUGACGCUGAGGCGCGAAAGCGUGGGGAGCGAACAGG
RNAcentral lists this ribosomal RNA (253 nucleotides) under uncultured bacterium. RNAcentral describes it as "partial 16S ribosomal RNA". It matches the Rfam family "Bacterial small subunit ribosomal RNA", at positions 524 to 776 of the family's 1533-position model. The record is from RNAcentral.